Long non-coding RNA from Girardinichthys multiradiatus, 280 nucleotides. RefSeq lists it as uncharacterized. The record is from RefSeq and is a predicted model, not a curated record. NCBI's taxonomy places the organism in Eukaryota, Metazoa, Chordata, Actinopteri, Cyprinodontiformes, Goodeidae. The transcript is spliced from 3 exons.
CGUCCGAAUCACAACUGCAUCGUUUUCCACAAGGCUACAGACACGGAGAACUGUAAAGUGACGCGAAAGUCAUGCGUUGGAGUUAAAUAUUAUCUCAGCUGAAGUUUCAAAGCAGGUGUUUUUCCUGGAUGGUCUCAUCUUCUUUGAUCUGCUGAACAAAAAAAACAUCCCCACACCAUGAAGCUGCCACCACCAUGUUUCACCAUUGGGAUAGUGUGUUUGGCUUAGCAUUACACAAUUGACUCUGGGAUCCGUGGGGGAAGCCUGACGUCGAGCGAAG